CCUACGGGCGGCAGCAGUGAGGAAUAUUGGUCAAUGGACGAGAGUCUGAACCAGCCAAGCAGCGUGAAGGAAGACUGCCCUAUGGGUGGUAAACUUCUUUUAUAUGGGAAUAAAAUGUUCCACUAGUGGGAUUUUGUAUGUACCAUAUGAACAAGGAUCGGCUAACUCCGUGCCAGCAGCCGCGGUAAUACGGAGGAUCCGAGCGUUAUCCGGAUUUACUGGGUGUAAAGGGAGCUUAGGUGGAUAGUUAAGUCAGUUGUGAAAGUUAGCGGCUCAACCGUAAAAUUGCAGUUGAAACUGGCAGUCUUGAGUACAGUAGAGGUGAGCGGAAUUCCGGGUGUAGCGGUGAAAUGCUUAGAUAUCCCGAAGAACACCGAUUGCGAAGGCAGAUCACUGGACUGCAACUGACGCUGAGGCUCGAAAGUGUGGGUAUCAAACAGGAUUAGAUACCCUAGUAGUC
RNAcentral lists this ribosomal RNA (460 nucleotides) under uncultured bacterium. Its description in RNAcentral is "partial 16S ribosomal RNA". It matches the Rfam family "Bacterial small subunit ribosomal RNA", at positions 338 to 795 of the family's 1533-position model. The record is from RNAcentral.